GAUGAACGCUGGCGGCGUGCCUAAUACAUGCAAGUAGAACGCUGAAGGAAGGAGCUUGCUCUUUCCGGAUGAGUUGCGAACGGGUGAGUAACGCGUAGGUAACCUGCCUGGUAGCGGGGGAUAACUAUUGGAAACGAUAGCUAAUACCGCAUAACAGUAGAUGUUGCAUGAUAUCUACUUAAAAGGUGCAAUUGCACCACUACCAGAUGGACCUGCGUUGUAUUAGCUAGUUGGUGAGGUAACGGCUCACCAAGGCGACGAUACAUAGCCGACCUGAGAGGGUGAUCGGCCACACUGGGACUGAGACACGGCCCAGACUUCUACGGGAGGCAGCAGUAGGGAAUCUUCGGGAAUGGACGGAAGGCUGACCGAGCAACGCCGCGUGAGUGAAGAAGGUUUUCGGAUCGUAAAGCUCUGUUGUAAGAGAAGAAAGAGUGUGAGAGUGGAAAGUUCACACUGUGACGGUAUCUUACCAGAAAGGGACGGCUAACUACGUG
RNAcentral lists this ribosomal RNA (497 nucleotides) under uncultured bacterium. RNAcentral describes it as "partial 16S ribosomal RNA". It matches the Rfam family "Bacterial small subunit ribosomal RNA", at positions 28 to 507 of the family's 1533-position model. The record is from RNAcentral.